This 1040-nucleotide ribosomal RNA is filed under the name Phoma sp. CB007WA. RNAcentral describes it as "SSU rRNA". It matches the Rfam family "Eukaryotic small subunit ribosomal RNA", at positions 57 to 1101 of the family's 1831-position model. The record is from RNAcentral. Lineage: Eukaryota; Fungi; Ascomycota; Dothideomycetes; Pleosporales; Didymellaceae.
UCCUAAGUAUAAGCCAAUUAUACCCGGGAAACCUGGGAAUGGCCCCAUUAAAUCAGUUAUCGUUUAUUUGAAAGUACCCUUACUACUUGGAUACCCGUGGUAAUUCUAGAGCUAAUACAUGCAAAAAACCCCGACUUCGGAAGGGGUGUAUUUAUUAGAUAAAAAACCAAUGCCCUUCGGGGCUCCUUGGUGAUUCAUAAUAACUUAACGGAUCGCAUGGCCUUGCGCCGGCGACGGUUCAUUCAAAUUUCUGCCCUAUCAACUUUCGAUGGUAAGGUAUUGGCUUACCAUGGUUUCAACGGGUAACGGAUUUUUAGGGAAAGAUCCCGGAGAGGGAGCCUGAGAAACGGCUACCACAUCCAAGGAAGGCAGCAGGCGCGCAAAUUACCCAAUCCCGACACGGGGAGGUAGUGACAAUAAAUACUGAUACAGGGCUCUUUUGGGUCUUGUAAUCGGAAUGAGUACAAUUUAAAUACCUUAACGAGGAACAAUUGGAGGGCAAGUCUGGUGCCAGCAGCCGCGGUAAUUCCAGCUCCAAUAGCGUAUAUUAAAGUUGUUGCAGUUAAAAAGCUCGUAGUUGAACCUUGGGCCUGGCUGGCCGGUCCGCCUCACCGCGUGUACUGGUCCGGCCGGGCCUUUCCUUCUGGAGAACCGCAUGCCCUUCACUGGGUGUGUCGGGGAACCAGGACUUUUACUUUGAGAAAAUUAGAGUGUUCAAAGCAGGCCUUUGCUCGAAUACGUUAGCAUGGAAUAAUAGAAUAGGACGUGCGGUCCUAUUUUGUUGGUUUCUAGAACCGCCGUAAUGAUUAAUAGGGAUAGUCGGGGGCGUCAGUAUUCAAUUGUCAGAGGUGAAAUUCUUGGAUCUAUUGAAGACUAACUACUGCGAAAGCAUUCGCCAAGGAUGUUUUCAUUAAUCAGUGAACGAAAGUUAGGGGAUCGAAGACGAUCAGAUACCGUCGUAGUCUUAACCGUAAACUAUGCCGACUAGGGAUCGGGCGAUGUUUCUAUCUUGACUCGCUCGGCACCUUACGAGAAAUCAU